UGAGUACGAGAUGCUACGGCGUCGAAGCAGUCUAUGUCAUACUUCCAAGAAAAGCUUGCACUGUCAUAAACAAAGAAUGCCUGUACCAUAACCGACACAGGUGGGUAGGUAGAGUAUACUAAGGGGCGCGAGAUAACUCUCUCUAAGGAACUCGGCAAAAUGACUCCGUAACUUCGGGAGAAGGAGUGCCUUAUUUUUAAGGUUGCAAUAACAAGAUCCAAGCAACUGUUUACCAAAAACACAGGUCUCCGCUAAGUCGUAAGACGAUGUAUGGGGGCUGACGCCUGCCCAGUGCAGAAGGUUAAAGAAGUUGGUUAGCAUUAGCGAAGCUGAUAACUGAAGCCCUGGUGAACGGCGGCCGUAACAAUAACGGUCCUAAGGUAGCGAAAUUCCUUGUCGGGUAAGUUCCGACCCGCACGAAAGGCGUAAUGAUUUGGAUACUGUCUCGGAGAGGGGCUCGGUGAAAUAGACUUGUCUGUGAAGAUGCGGACUACCUGCACCUGGACAGAAAGACCCUAUGAAGCUUUACUGUAACUUGAGAUUGAAAUUGGACUUUAUUUGCGCAGUAUAGGUGGGAGGCGUUGAGAAUAAUCUUGCGGGAUUAUUGGAGCCAUCAGUGAGAUACCACUCUUGUAAUGUUAGAUUUCUAACUUUGUAUCAUUAUCUGGUCAAAGAACAGUUUCAGGCGGGCAGUUUGACUGGGGCGGUCGCCUCCCAAAGGGUAACGGAGGCGCACAAAGGUUUCCUCUGAACGGGUAGAAAUCGUAUCUAGAGUGUAAAGGCAUAAGGAAGCUUGACUGUGAGACCUACAAGUCGAGCAGGGACGAAAGUCGGUCUUAGUGAUCUGACGGUGCUGAGUGGAAAGGCCGUCACUCAACGGAUAAAAGUUACUCUAAGGAUAACAGGCUGAUCUCCCCCAAGAGUUCACAUCGACGGGGAGGUUUGGCACCUCGAUGUCGGCUCAUCGCAUCCUGGGGCGGUAGUACGUCCCAAGGGUUGGGCUGUUCGCCCAUGAAAGCGGUACGCGAGCUGGGUUCAGAACGUCGUGAGACAGUUCGGUCCAUAUCCGGUGUAGGCGUUAGAAUAUUGAGAGGAGCCUUCUCUAGUACGAGACGACCGAGAAGGACAUACCUCUGGUGUACCAGUUAUCGUGCCAACGGUAAACGCUGGGUAGCUAUGUAUGGAGUGGAUAACCGCUGAAAGCAUCUAAGUGGGAAGCCCACCUUAAGAUAAGUAUUCUCAC
Molecule: ribosomal RNA, 1243 nt
Filed under: metagenome
Description: bacterial LSU rRNA
Rfam family: Bacterial large subunit ribosomal RNA
Source: RNAcentral